RNAcentral lists this ribosomal RNA (537 nucleotides) under Erioderma leylandii. RNAcentral's name for it is "SSU rRNA". It matches the Rfam family "Bacterial small subunit ribosomal RNA", at positions 381 to 920 of the family's 1533-position model. The record is from RNAcentral. Lineage: Eukaryota; Fungi; Ascomycota; Lecanoromycetes; Peltigerales; Pannariaceae.
GGCUGAACCAGCAACUUGGAAGAAUGAAUGGCAAUAGCUAAUUGUAUUUCUUACAAUUUGUACAAUAUCGAUUUUGUCGAAUAAAAUUCUAGAUAAAUUUAUGAUGAUGACAUUAUUUAUCUAUGUGUCUUGACUAAAUUACGUGCCAGCAGUCGCGGUAAUACGUAGCAGACUAGUGUUAUUCAUCUUUAAUAGGUUUAAAGCGUACCCAGGCGGUUGAUAUAGCCUACGCAAGGAACUAUAUUUAACUAGAGUUAUAUAUGUAAUGGCGCACUAAAGUACUGUUGAGUGUAGAGAUGAAAUUCUGUCAUACCAGAUGAUUGGCACAGAUUUAGGCGAAAGCAUCGCUUUAUGUAAUAACUGACGUUGGCGGACGAAGGCUUAGCUAACAAACAGGAUUAGAUACCCCAGUAGUCUUUGCAGAAAAUGAUGAAUGUCAUAGGUUAAAUAAUAAAAUUUUGUCUAUAAAUGAAAGUGUAAGCAUUCCACCUCAAGAGUAAUUUGGCAACAUUGGAAUUGAAAUCAUUAGACCGUGUC